Molecule: unclassified non-coding RNA, 388 nt
Filed under: Hevea brasiliensis (rubber tree)
Lineage: Eukaryota; Viridiplantae; Streptophyta; Magnoliopsida; Malpighiales; Euphorbiaceae
Source: RNAcentral
AAGAGCUUGGUUUAUUAUAAUCCAAGAACAAGUACCAAACAUAAUAAAAGUACACAAGUUUCUCGCAUUUUAUUACAACUUCAUAAGGAAAACACAUUCUCAGAGGUUUGCUGCAGUGGCAGCUUUACUCCUCAAUAUCUCUUUGGCUUUAUAAAGAUUCCCAUGGACUUCCUCAAAAUGAGGCGCGGUCGCGUUCUUCACGUUCUCGAUCCACUGCUGAAUCUUGACGUGAGGGCUCAAUAUUCUAUCGCGAUCUUUGUCAUCAAGAAGCUCCAACUGUGUAAUCUCACAUCCAAGGCUGAGAUCUGCAAUAGAUGGCUGAGAAUACCCCAAUAAGAACUUGGCAUCAUCCUUAAGCCAAUAGGAUUCAAUUACUGAUAGGGAUGCA